CUAUCGCGCAAUAGCGGCGGGCCGCGGCCGGCAUAUUGGAUUGGGAGGAAAAAAGAACUCCCAAUCUGAUCUUCCAUCGAACGGAGAGAUAAGACGGGUAGAGGGAGGGCCACGGUGCCGGUGGAUGGGAGACUCAGAUUUCCUCCCCAGAGGACCCACGGAGCCUUAAUCACUCUCUCAGGAAAUGAAGAUUAGGUUGCCGUACAGAUCCCGCGAUGCAUUUCCCAUCGUCGUGAUCGCCAUUUUUUCACGGGUCUUUUGUCGUUCGUGAGCAACAUUUCCACACACCACAAUGAAACUAUCGGAACUGGAAUGGUGUUCAAUUUGAGCAGUGGCUUCAAAAUGCUCUUCAAACUCACACGUGUGUCUUCCUUAAACCUGCAAUGUCGCAAAUGAUUUUGAAGUAUCGUGUAUAGGAUUAAGUCCAUUAUGCCCGCGCUCGAUGGUCAUAAUUUAUUGCAAGGUAUUAAAUUGAAAUCAAGGGGUGUUAAAAUAUCCAAAGUGUGUCUUUAUUAAACCUGUAGAUAACCUUUUAUGGUUAUGAAGAAAAAAAAUUGGCAUCAACUUUCUUAAAACACUAAUCCCGUAUUGUUCAUUCCUAGUGUUCAUACAAACACAAAUAAACAGACAAA
This is a long non-coding RNA of Hippocampus comes (tiger tail seahorse), 632 nucleotides long. RefSeq lists it as uncharacterized. Lineage: Eukaryota; Metazoa; Chordata; Actinopteri; Syngnathiformes; Syngnathidae. The record is from RefSeq and is a predicted model, not a curated record. The transcript is spliced from 2 exons.